Molecule: ribosomal RNA, 507 nt
Filed under: uncultured bacterium
Lineage: Bacteria
Description: partial 16S ribosomal RNA
Rfam family: Bacterial small subunit ribosomal RNA
Source: RNAcentral
ACUCAAAUGAAUUGACGGGGGCCCGCACAAGCGGUGGAGCAUGUGGAUUAAUACGUCACUAACCGUAGAACCUUACCCAGGCUUGACAUCCCGGGAACCCCGCUGAAAGGCGGGGGUGCCCUUCGGGGAGCCCGGAGACAGGUGUUGCAUGGCUGUCGUCAGCUCGUGUCGUGAGAUGUUGGGUUAAGUCCCGCAACGAGCGCAACCCUCACUGCCUGUUGCCAGCACCGGCUUGCCGGGUUGGGCACUCUGGCGGAACUGCCCGGGCAACCGGGAGGAAGGUGGGGACGACGUCAAGUCAGCAUGGCCCGUACGCCUGGGGCUUCACACAUGCUACAAUGGCCGGUACAAAGGGCUCCGAGGCCGUGAGGCGGAGGCAAUCCCAAAAAGCCGGUCCCAGUUCGGAUCGCAGGCUGCAACUCGCCUGCGUGAAGGCGGAAUCGCUAGUAACCGCCGGUCAGCUAAACGGCGGUGAAUACGUUCCCGGGCCUUGUACACACCGCCCGU